Molecule: non-coding RNA, 366 nt
Organism: Nomia melanderi (Alkali bee)
Lineage: Eukaryota; Metazoa; Arthropoda; Insecta; Hymenoptera; Halictidae
Source: RefSeq, a predicted model, not a curated record
CCUGGCCCGCGAAAGGAACUUGUGUUUAUGAUCCCAAUGGGUUUACUCCCAUAGUGCUUCGUUAUCUCAGUGUAUACAAAGUUGCACAGUGAAGCUUCUCAUUUUGCAAUAAGUGAGAGAUCUAAGUGAUGCGAUGAAAGAAUUUUUAGAACACGUGAAUGGCCUGGGAGAAAUAAAGCAAUAAACGCUGGAGGAUGCUGAAGGAAAAAUUGAAAAUAAAUACGCUUAUCGAUCUACGUGUUCAUCGCGGACGGAAAUCAAGGGCGAUAGAGUCAGAUUGAAUGCGCAGCGUUGAACGCAGCCAAACAGGCGAGAACGAAUGACAAUACCAUGAAAAAGCAAUUAACGGGUACUACACAGCUGAAG